AGAGUUUGAUCAUGGCUCAGAUUGAACGCUGGCGGCAUGCUUUACACAUGCAAGUCGAACGGUAACGCGGGGGCAACCCUGGCGACGAGUGGCGAACGGGUGAGUAAUACAUCGGAACAUGUCCUGGAGUGGGGGAUAGCUCGGCGAAAGCCGGAUUAAUACCGCAUACGCUCUGAGGAGGAAAGCGGGGGAUCCGCAAGGACCUCGCGCUGCAGGAGUGGCCGAUGUCGGAUUAGCUAGUUGGUGAGGUAAAGGCUCACCAAGGCGACGAUCCGUAGCUGGUCUGAGAGGAUGAUCAGCCACACUGGGACUGAGACACGGCCCAGACUCCUACGGGAGGCAGCAGUGGGGAAUUUUGGACAAUGGGGGCAACCCUGAUCCAGCCAUGCCGCGUGAGUGAAGAAGGCCUUCGGGUUGUAAAGCUCUUUCGGACGGGACGAAAUGGUUAUGGUGAAUAUCCAUGACUGAUGACGGUACCGUAAUAAGAAGCACCGGCUAACUACGUGCCAGCAGCCGCGGUAAUACGUAGGGUGCGAGCGUUAAUCGGAAUUACUGGGCGUAAAGCGUGCGCAGGCGGUUCGCCAAGUCAGGUGUGAAAUCCCCGGGCUUAACCUGGGAAUUGCGCUUGAAACUAGCGAGCUUGAGUGUGGCAGAGGGGGGUGGAAUUCCACGUGUAGCAGUGAAAUGCGUAGAGAUGUGGAGGAACACCGAUGGCGAAGGCAGCCCCCUGGGUCAACACUGACGCUCAUGCACGAAAGCGUGGGGAGCAAACAGGAUUAGAUACCCUAGUAGUCC
RNAcentral lists this ribosomal RNA (795 nucleotides) under uncultured bacterium. RNAcentral's name for it is "bacterial SSU rRNA". It matches the Rfam family "Bacterial small subunit ribosomal RNA", at positions 8 to 796 of the family's 1533-position model. The record is from RNAcentral.